RNAcentral lists this small RNA (108 nucleotides) under Flavobacterium weaverense. RNAcentral describes it as "Flavo-1 RNA". It matches the Rfam family "Flavo-1 RNA". The record is from RNAcentral. Lineage: Bacteria; Pseudomonadati; Bacteroidota; Flavobacteriia; Flavobacteriales; Flavobacteriaceae.
UAUUAUUCCCGUUUGCGUGAGGGAUUGCAGUGGAGCUCUUUUAUAAUUUGUUCUCGUUUUUGAACGAGAGCAAAUUAUAAAAAGCGGGAAUGGAAAGCCCGACCCGAA